This 2912-nucleotide ribosomal RNA is filed under the name uncultured delta proteobacterium. RNAcentral's name for it is "bacterial LSU rRNA". It matches the Rfam family "Bacterial large subunit ribosomal RNA". The record is from RNAcentral. Lineage: Bacteria; Deltaproteobacteria.
AGAAGUUAUUAAGGGCAAUAGGUGGAUGCCUUGACGCCGAGAAGCGAAGAAAGACGUGGUGGGCUGCGAUAAGCCUCGGGGAGGAGCCAAACAUCCUUUGAUCCGGGGAUUUCUGAAUGGGGAAACCCGGCGGGAGUCAUGUCCCGUCGCCGUUAACUGAAUUCAUAGGUUGACGAGCGCUAACGCAGGGAAGUGAAACAUCUCAGUACCUGCAGGAAAGGAAAUCAAACGAGACUCCCAAAGUAGCGGCGAGCGAAAUGGGAAGAGCCUAAACCGGAUGGAUUCGUCCAUCCGGGGUUGUAGGGCCGGUAUAAUUGAUCCAUGAUUAGGCAGGAGAACCUUCUGGAAAGUAGGGCCAAAGCGGGUGACAGCCCCGUAUCUGAAACCGAAAGUGGCAAGACCGGUACCUGAGUACCGCGGGGCACGUGAAACCCCGUGGGAAUCCGGGAGGACCAUCUUCCAAGGCUAAGUAUUCCUCGGCGAUCGAUAGCGAACCAGUACCGUAAGGGAAAGGUGAAAAGAACCCCUGUCAGGGGAGUGAAAAGAACCUGAAACCUGUUGCCUACAAGCUGUGGGAGCGGCUUUAACUGCCGUGACCAUGUGCCUUUUGCAUAAUGAGUCAGCGAGUUACUUUGUACAGCAAGGUUAAGCGAAAGUGUAGCCGAAGCGAAAGCGAGUCUGAAUAGGGCGUUAAGUUGUGCGGAGUAGACCCGAAACCGAGUGAGCUAUCCAUGAGCAGGUUGAAGCACGGGUAAAACCUUGUGGAGGACCGAACCGUCAACGGCUGAAAACGUUCCGGAUGACUUGUGGAUAGGGGUGAAAGGCCAAUCAAACUCGGUGAUAGCUGGUUCUCCCCGAAAUAUAUUGAGGUAUAGCCUCACGGAUUGUCUGACGCAGGUAAAGCACUGAAAAGGCUAGGGGUCCCACCAGAUUACCAAACCUUAUCAAACUCUGAAUGGCGUUUAGAUGUACCGUGGGAGUCAGACUGCGGGUGCGAAGAUUCGUAGUCGAGAGGGAAACAGCCCAGAUCGACAGCUAAGGCCUCCAAAUCCAUACUCAGUGGCUAAGGUGGUGGAGUUGUUUAGACAGCCAGGAAGUUGGCUUAGAAGCAGCCAUCUUUUAAAGAAAGCGUAAUAGCUCACUGGUCUAAUGACUCUGCGCCGAAAAUGUUCGGGGCUAAGUAUGGUGCCGAAGCUUCGGGAUCCGCGUAUGCGGAUCGGUAGGGGAGCGUUCUCUAUGGGCAGAAGCUGCCGUGUAAACGUGUGGUGGACUGUAGAGAAGUGAUUAUGCUGACAUGAGUAACGUUAAAACAGGUGAAAAACCUGUUCGCCGCAAACCCAAGGUUUCCUGGGUAAAGGUAAUCUUCCCAGGGUUAGUCGGCCCCUAAGGCGAGGCUGAAAAGCGUAGUCGAUGGGAAACGGGUUAAUAUUCCCGUACUUGUAUGAGUGUGCGAUGGAGGGACGCAGAAAGAUAGGCCAGCCUCCUGUUGGAUGGAGGUGUAAGUACGUAGGCUUGAGGGACAGGCAAAUCCGCCCUCUUUACGGCUGAAAUACGAGCCCGUGACCGUAUGGUCUGAAGUGGUUGAAUCUAUGCUGCCUAGAAAAGCUUCUAAGUUUAGCUCAUGCAAACCGUACCGCAAACCAACACAGGUGGGUGGGUGUAAAUGCACCAAGGCGCUCGAGAGAACUCUGGUUAAGGAACUCGGCAAAAUAACCCCGUAACUUCGGGAGAAGGGGUGCUCAUUAGACGUCAGAUUAUAUCAAAGCGUCGAAGAGCCGCAGAGAAAUGGCGGUGGCGACUGUUUACUAAAAACAUAGGUCUGUGCGAAGUCGCAAGACGACGUAUACGGACUGACGCCUGCCCGGUGCUGGAAGGUUAAGAGGAGAGGUCAGCGCAAGCGAAGCUUUGAAUUGAAGCCCCAGUAAACGGCGGCCGUAACUAUAACGGUCCUAAGGUAGCGAAAUUCCUUGUCGGGUAAGUUCCGACCUGCACGAAUGGCGUAACGAUCUCCGCACUGUCUCAACCAGAGACUCGGUGAAAUUGAAGUCGCGGUGAAAAUGCCGUGUACUCGCAGUGUGACGGAAAGACCCUGUGCACCUUUACUAUAGCUUGACAUUGAGUUUUGGGCAUGCAUGUGUAGGAUAGGUGGGAGACUGUGAAGCGGGCACGCCAGUGUUCGUGGAGUCACCCUUGAAAUACCACCCUUGCCUGUCUAAGGCUCUAACUCUCUCCCGUGAUCCGGGUAGAGGACAUUGUCUGGUGGGUAGUUUGACUGGGGCGGUCGCCUCCCAAACAAUAACGGAGGCAUACAAAGGUUCCCUCAGCCUGAUUGGAAACCAGGCGUUGAGUGCAAACGCAUAAGGGAGCUUGACUGCAAGAGUGACAGCUCGAGCAGGUACGAAAGUAGGUGUUAGUGAUCCGGUGGUCCCGAAUGGAAGGGCCAUCGCUCAUUGGAUAAAAGGUACGCCGGGGAUAACAGGCUGAUCGCAUCCAAGAGUCCAUAUCGACGAUGCGGUUUGGCACCUCGAUGUCGGCUCAUCACAUCCUGGGGCUGAAGCAGGUCCCAAGGGUACGGCUGUUCGCCGUUUAAAGUGGUACGCGAGCUGGGUUUAAAACGUCGUGAGACAGUUUGGUCCCUAUCUACUGUGAGCGUAGGAGAUUUGAGAGGGCCUGUCCCUAGUACGAGAGGACCGGGAUGGACGAACCACUGGUGCCCCUGUUGUCGUGCCAACGGCAUAGCAGGGUAGCUACGUUCGGAAGGGAUAACCGCUGAAAGCAUCUAAGCGGGAAGCCUGCCUCAAGAUAAGAUCUCCCUUAAGACCCCUGGAAGACUACCAGGUUGAUAGGCUGGGUGUGUACGCGCAGUGAUGCGUUUAGCUUACCAGUACUAAUAGGUCGAUCGACUUAAUUCU